CUCUGUCAUCAAAUGAUAUAGGGUGCGCACAGCGAUGACCUUGCUGCUGCCUCAAGGCUGGAAUAUACUGCCAGCUUCUACCAGACUACCAGCCCCGAUGUGGCCAAGCUUUUCCACAUUGACCCGGAGGCAAAGCGCUCGUCGGUAGUCCUGCUCAAGAAAGAGGAGGAGAAGUUGACCGUCUUUGAUGGUGAGUUCAGAGUGUCUGCUAUCGCUGAGUUUGUUUCGGCGAACAAAAUCCCAUUGAUCACCACCCUCACACAGGAAACCGCCCCUGCGAUUUUUGAUAAUCCGAUCAAGAAGCAAAUUUUGCUAUUCGUUGUUGCAAAGGAGUCCUCGAAAUUCCUGCCCAUCUUGAAGGAAACAACAAAAUCAUUCAAGGGAAAGGCACCGUCAAAUCCAUGUGACGAGGGGCAACGACCUCGACUUCAUGAUAAUAAAUGUUAGUUUCUUGUAUCGUUCGUAUUUUUGAUUUCUGCGACAUAACCUGUUCCAUAUGGUGCUAUAUAUCGUUCUAUGUCUUAACUGAUGC
Long non-coding RNA from Hordeum vulgare subsp. vulgare (domesticated barley), 532 nucleotides. RefSeq lists it as uncharacterized. Lineage: Eukaryota; Viridiplantae; Streptophyta; Magnoliopsida; Poales; Poaceae. The transcript has 4 exons. The record is from RefSeq and is a predicted model, not a curated record.